Molecule: long non-coding RNA, 4961 nt
Filed under: Malus domestica (apple)
Lineage: Eukaryota; Viridiplantae; Streptophyta; Magnoliopsida; Rosales; Rosaceae
Description: long non-coding RNA (MDOM_LNC017484)
Source: RNAcentral
GAAGCUCUCUCCCUCACUCCCCUCACCUCUCAGAGAAAUACAAUAUCAGUGUGGACGUAGCCCAAACAUUGGGGUGAACCACGAUACAUCUUGUGUUAUUUACAUUUCUGCAGAUUUACGGUCGGAUUUACUUUGUUCCAAGACAUCCGGUUUUGUGCUUCAAUAUUUGACGCCGUCUGUGGGAAUCGACACAAAAAGCUAUGUUGGUUCUCUUUCAUUUUUUCAUCUCACCACCGUGAAACUGCAGACACCAAGAACCCAGAAAACCUCACUCUUUAGGGCUUUUCUAGAAAACCUUCGCAGAAUCUGCGCAGUUUUAAAAAAUCCACCCAACAUACCUUAAGAAGCACAAAGACUCUCUGUACCUGUUCAAUAUCAAGUCAAAAGCAGAAUAAGGGGCACCAACUUUCAAAAAGCAUAUACAAAAAGCCCCAAACUUUCGUUUCACACGGCCACAACCAAAUGGAUCCACCUCCACUACCGCCUCUCCCCACCAGUCACCACCACUGCAACUACGACAGCCACUAGCAUGCAACUCAAUUACCCCGACUCCGUGGACUCCUCCCCUCGCUCCUGCAACGCCGACACCUGGGAUGACCCUCUCCUUCAAGUCCCCGGCGCCAAGCUCCGCCUCAUAUGCAGCUACGACGACCACAUCCCCUGCCCCCAUGACAAGUCCCUCUGCUACGUUGGUGGCGAAACUCGCAUUAUUGUCGUCGAGCGCCACUCCAUUCUCUUUGAUCUCUGCUCCCGCCUCUCACGAACGCUCUUCAACGGCCGCCGCUUCUCCCUUAAGUACCAGCUCCCCAACGAAGACCUUGACUCCCUCAUCUUCGUCACCACCGAUGAAGAUCUCGACAACAUGGUCGAAGAAUACGACCGCACCGCCUCCGCCUCCCCCCACAAACCCUCCCACCUUCGACUGGUCACAAGGAGAGAGUUUGGGUUUCCUACCUGGGAUCGCCUACAAGUUUCCUCCGUGAGCAGGCCAAACAACCCCUCACUUGCUGCCUCAAUCGCGGCCUUUUCAAAGCAGCUACAAACUUUGGCGCUUUUCAAUUUCUGAAAUUUCAGAACCAAAAAAGAAGAGGAAGAAAGGACUUGCUAGAGAGAGAGAGAGAUGGUGAACAUGGAGGAUAACUUCCUUGAUUUCGAGUCAGAAGACCCAUUUCUCACUAGCCCUGCCGUUACCAAAAGAAGGAGGAAGACUAUUGGGUUGGAUGAUUUUUUGACUGACUUCUACAAGGAAGAAGACAAGAUUGUUGAAAAGGAAGCUAAGCAUGCAAAAGCACGAAGGAACAAUGAGUCAGAUGAAGAAGAUAAUGACAAAGAGGCUACUCUCUUUGACAUUGUCGAUAAGUGUGAAAGCGAGGCAUGUUAACUCUCUUGUUUUGGUCUUUUCUGGUGUUAUUUGUGUACUGCUCUCCUUUUCAAAAACAAAGGAGGAAAUAAUAUGAUUCCAACUGGUCACAAGAGUUUGGGUUUUCCUACUUGGGAUCGUCUGCAACAAGUUUCCUCCGUGAGCAGGCCAAACAACUCCUCACCCGUUGCCUCAACCGCGGCCGAGCUCACCUAAUGGUCACUCCUACCUCGCCUUCUUCGGCGCCGAAGUCAUCACCUUCACAAACCACUUCACAAACCAGAUUCCAUCUCCUGUGAAUACCACGAGCACUAGUGGAAAACAGGAAGAAGAUAAGUUUUCUUACAAUAUUUCUAUUAUUAUUCUCCUUUGUGUUGUCUGCCAUAUGCCAAAAGAAAUAAGAUAAAAAGAAAGAAAAACAAAGAAAAAGGAAAAGGAGGUCUGUAGCUGAUGCCAAAGCAAAAGCAGAAAAGAGGUGAGUCCCAUUGGAGCGGGGAGAUCAAGAAAAGCAGAAAAGCAAAAGUAAAGCAGAAAGCAAAAGAAGAUAAAUAAUUGCGGUGGGGAUGACAUGCAAAAAAGGAAAUUAUGGGCGUGACCCAUUGAGCAGAGGAUUAGAUUUAUUUUUGAAUGAUGUAAUUUAUUUUUCGUAUCUUUCGGAGAUAUCUGUAUAACCCCAUCAGAGGGUAAUAAUAAAAAAAUAAAAAAAAAAAAACAGCAAAAAUUGGUUGGAAUGUUGUACGGAGGGCGAAGGCCUAUAAGCCCAAAAUAGCACCAACCAAGUGAUCAAAAGUACGUCCAGUACCACAAAAAAUUAUUCGGCACCCUACUGCUAUUAUCAUCAACCAGGUGAUCAAAAGUACGUCCAGUACUUCAAAAAUUAUUCGGCAAUCUGCCGCUAUUACCACCAACCAGGUGAUCAAAAGUACUUCCAGUACUCCAAAAAAUUGUUCGGCAGCCUGCCUCUAUUAUCACCAAUCAGGUGAUCAAAAGUACAUCUAGUACUUCAAAUUAUAUAUGAGCAUUACUCAUGUCAAUCAUACAUAAACAUUCAUGAGCAUUACUCAUGUCAAUCAACAUAAACAUUCAUGAAUAUCACUCAUGUUAAUCAGCUUCAAAAGCUUCAUUUACAAAAGCUCUAGCUUCAAAAGCUUCAUUUACAGAGCUCCAGCUUCAAAACUUCACUUGCAAAGCUUCACCUAUAAAGCUUCAGUGCAGGGUAUACAAAUAUCGCCUCUGAACAACCGCCACUUCGAUCCAUACAUGGAUUCAGUUUGAAGUCUCCAGCCAACAAACUCUAUUGACCGAAUACUUGGGGGACUACAUUAUGUACCAUAUAUUGGGCAUCAACUGGGUCUCAUGAAAAAUACAAAAUACUUGGGGGACUUAGCCCAUCACUUAUGUAUAGAGGAGCAAGCCCUUAUUCUAUAAAAGGGACUCUCUCACCAUCAUUACAGAGCAUCAACUCUAGCCCAUCAUUCAUGUAUCGAGGAGCGAGCCCUUAUUCUAUAAAAGGGACUCUCCCACCUUCAACGCCACAAUCCGAGCCAACCAAGGUAACAUAAACCACGAGUCGAGUAGCCUCGCAGCAUGUGCUACUUCUAGUUGAGCAUCAUUUCAGAUUGAACACCGCCUCAUAUCGAACAUCAAUUCAAGACAACAUCUAGUUACUUCGGCUCACACAUGGACUGAAUUUCAAGUCUCCAGCCAAAAGACUCUCUUGACUGAAGACUUGGGAGACUACUGUUUAUACCAUAUUUAGGGCCUCUGUAUUUAUAUCUCGUACAAAUACUCGGAAGAUUUAACUGUAAUUAUGUAAUAAAGGAAGGGGCAAAUAUGUAAUAAGUGAGGAACCCUUAUUCUAUAAAAAGACUCCUCAUCCUCAUAAUUAGAGGAGGCCAUUUUCUUAGGCCAUGGGAAGGACUCUCACCCUCAGAAGCUCUCUCCCUCACUCCCCUCACCUCUUAGAGAAAUACAAUAUCAGUAUGGACGUAGCCCAAACAUUGGGGUGAACCACGAUACAUCUUGUGAUAUUUACAUUUUUUGCAGAUUCACGGUCGGAUUUACGUUGUUCCAAGACAUUCGGUUUUGUGCAUCAACAUGUUUAAUUGGUUUAUAGCUGGAUUUAAUAUAAUUAACUGUAUACGAGGUGGGUCUUUAUGGGACUUUCUAACUUUCAUAUGACAAUGACUUUAAAUUUUGUAUAUGGAUUGUUUCUUCUCAAAAAAAAAAAAAAAUUUGUAUAUGGAUGAUAGUGUUGAACUGAUGUCUACACCAUCGUAGUUUCAUAUUUGCAAUUAUGCAUUAAACAUGGUGUCUUUAGUUGAUAGACGCAUAUUAUGCACCUUGUUGGGUUUCCACAUAGCAAACGAAGUUGGGACAAGCAAAAUAAUAUGGCACGCACUUAGCAAUCGGUUAGGCACAAGUCUUGACGUGAAUAAGUUUGUGUUGGGGUUUUACAGAUUUAAUUGUAAGAAAUGGCCGUAUUUUCCGUUUAUAUCACUGAGACAAUUUGUUCGUAUUGUAUGCUUUUCAUUAAUCUUUAUUAGAAAGUAUACAGAAAAACAAGCAGAUACUUAUUUACAACGAGUCUGACCAUGUACGUUCUAUUAUUCCAGAUGUCUGUGCAAGAGUUUCCUGCAAACUCCACUGUUAUGGAUCUGCUGGAAAGAGCUGGGCGAGGGAGCUUGAGAAGGACACCAUACGGGUUACCACUGAAGGAAGAACUGAGGCCCAGGCUGAAUCAUGUGCCAGUGAACGAUCCUGCAUGCGAGCUGCAGAUGGGGGAUGUGGUGGAACUGACUCCAGCUAUUCCGGACAAGUCUUUGACAGAGUACAGAGAAGAGAUUCAGCGCAUGUACGACCGGGGCUUCAGUGUAUCAAGUGCAGGGCCCGCUGCUAAUAGUAUGGCAGGUUGGAGAAGUUGACCGGCACGCAGAUUGUCCCGUUUAUGGUUGGUUGUAUCUAGUGACACCAAAGUCGUUCUUGUAUAUAAAUGAAGCAUUUGUACAGAACAGGUACGUGGUUCUGUUAUUCGAUGACUAACUGAAUUCAACAAGGUGUUAAAAUUGUUUUAUCUUGAAGGGUUCUCACUUGUAUGCGCUAUUGUCUCCCGGCACUUAUGUUUUUACAAGUUUCUGUAUAGACUCGGAUGACUAAGGUUGCAACUUGCUUUGUUAUUUCGACAUCCCUUUGCUUCUCUGUUGACAUGUUGCGAAUUCUCGUAUCCCCUCACCUUAUCGGACAAUUGGUAUUCUGAUUUAUACGAGCAAUAUUAGGAGAGGGAGAAGGAUAGGGGACUAGGUCUAUGGAGAUUAGCUAAUGUCUUACAUACGAUGAAGAGUUUAUGGAGAUUUUCCAGAGUAACAGAUAGUUUGGAAUUUUUAAUCGUUAGAACUUUACUUUAAAAUAAAAAUUAAAUCUAACGGAUAAAAAGUCUGGAAUAUCAUAUACUCCACAAUAUCAUAGAACUUUUGGAGUUAUUGAUCACAACGGGUAAGAAAAAAUGCAAAACUGGUUCAUGUUUUUUUAGUACAAGUGAUAUAACUAGGCCUGGCAAACGGGUCGUGUCAGUCGUGUUCGUGUCGUUUUCGUGUAACACCUG